RNAcentral lists this ribosomal RNA (777 nucleotides) under uncultured Bacteroidota bacterium. RNAcentral describes it as "bacterial SSU rRNA". It matches the Rfam family "Bacterial small subunit ribosomal RNA", at positions 1 to 769 of the family's 1533-position model. Lineage: Bacteria; Pseudomonadati; Bacteroidota. The record is from RNAcentral.
CGCGGGAUUAGAGUUUGAUCCUGGCUCAGGAUGAACGCUAGCGGCAGGCUUAAUACAUGCAAGUCGAGGGGCAGCGCAGUGUAGCAAUACAUGGGCGGCGACCGGCAAACGGGUGCGGAACACGUACACAACCUUCCUUUAAAUGGGGAAUAGCCCAGGGAAACUUGGAUUAAUACCCCGUGACAUUAUGAGAUGGCAUCAUUUUAUAAUUAUAGCUCCGGCGUUUAAAGAUGGGUGUGCGGCUGAUUAGGUAGUUGGUGGGGUAACGGCCCACCAAGCCUUCGAUCAGUAACUGGUGUGAGAGCACGACCAGUCACACGGGCACUGAGACACGGGCCCGACUCCUACGGGAGGCAGCAGUAAGGAAUAUUGGGCAAUGGACGCAAGUCUGACCCAGCCAUGCCGCGUGGAGGAUGAAGGUCCUCUGGAUUGUAAACUUCUUUUCUCUGGGGCGAAAAACAGGUAUUCUUACUUGCUUGACAGUACCAGAGGAAUAAGCACCGGCUAACUCCGUGCCAGCAGCCGCGGUAAUACGGAGGGUGCAAGCGUUAUCCGGAUUCACUGGGUUUAAAGGGUGCGUAGGUGGGUUGGUAAGUCAGUGGUGAAAUCUCCGGGCUUAACCUGGAAACUGCCAUUGAUACUAUUAAUCUUGAAUACCUUGGAGGUGAGCGGAAUAUGUCAUGUAGCGGUGAAAUGCUUAGAUAUGACAUAGAACACCAAUUGCGAAGGCAGCUCACUACACGGUCAUUGACACUGAGGCACGAAAGCGUGGGGAUC